Helianthus annuus (common sunflower) is the source of this 453-nucleotide long non-coding RNA. RefSeq lists it as uncharacterized. Lineage: Eukaryota; Viridiplantae; Streptophyta; Magnoliopsida; Asterales; Asteraceae. The transcript has 3 exons. The record is from RefSeq and is a predicted model, not a curated record.
UUUUAUUUUUAUAAACUAAUCAUGUAGUACAACAACCCACCUCCAUUUUCUCAGUUGUUUAAACUCCACACCAUACUCCACUCAUUGCAUGCACUUCAAGAGUUUAGGACUUAUCCACAUUGUUAGUAUAUCACAACAACCAUACUCCUUUUCUUUUUCCCUCUCUACGAGAAAACCAUCCUCAACAAAUGCACUUUUUAGAUUAACUCUCAAAAGCAAGGCCUAAAAGUCUCAAAAUCCAAGUAUCUUAUGGCGUUUUCAAGUUUUGGUUUAAGGAUUUAGGCUCAAGACUCUGAUUCUUCUAUCUAAUCCUUCUCCUUGCUUGUUUGGGGACACUCAUAGCCCGGGUUUCAUUAUCGAAGGAUUUGCUUCAUUGCUAACAUUUACAUGGAGUUCCAGGUUACAUUUUUUCAAAACUACGGAACGGUUGGAAUAGGAGAACCCACGGGAUUU